This 1223-nucleotide ribosomal RNA is filed under the name museum specimen metagenome. RNAcentral describes it as "bacterial LSU rRNA". It matches the Rfam family "Bacterial large subunit ribosomal RNA", at positions 682 to 2018 of the family's 2925-position model. The record is from RNAcentral.
UCUUAACUGGGCGACCAGUCGCAGGGUAUAGACCCGAAACCGGGCGAUCUAUCCAUGGCCAGGGUGAAGAUUGAGUAACAUCAAUUGGAGGCCCGAACCCAAGUAUGUUGAAAAAUGCUGGGAUGAGCUGUGGAUCGGAGUGAAAGGCUAAUCAAGCCCGGAGAUAGCUGGUUCUCCUCGAAAGCUAUUUAGGUAGCGCCUCACGUAUCACCGCUGGGGGUAGAGCACUGUUUCGGCUAGGGGGUCAUCCCGACUUACCAACCCGAGGCAAACUCCGAAUACCAGUGAGUGCAGCGUGGGAGACACACAGCGGGUGCUAACGUCCGUUGUGAAAAGGGAAACAACCCAGACCGUCAGCUAAGGUCCCAAAAUCCUGAUUAAGUGGGAAACGAUGUGGGAAGGCUCAGACAGCUAGGAGGUUGGCUUAGAAGCAGCCAUCCUUUAAAGAAAGCGUAAUAGCUCACUAGUCGAGUCGGCCUGCGCGGAAGAUAUAACGGGGCUAAAUCAGGUACCGAAGCUACGGGUUCAUCCUUAUGGAUGAGCGGUAGAGGAGCGUCGUGUAAGCCAAUGAAGGUGGAUUGAGAAGUCUGCUGGAGGUAUCACGAGUGCGAAUGCUGACAUGAGUAACGAUAAGGGGAGUGAAAAACUCCCCCGCCGGAAGACCAAGGUUUUCUGUUCUACGUUAAUCGGAGCAGAGUGAGUCGGCCCCUAAGGCGAGGCGGAAACGCGUAGUCGAUGGGAAACGGGUUAAUAUUCCCGUACCGGAUGUGGUUGCGAUGGGGGGACGAAGAAGGCUAGGUGAGCCAGGCGUUGGUUGUCCUGGUGAAAGCAUGUAGGCCGAGGAAUCAGGCAAAUCCGGUUCCUCUGAGGUCGAGAUGCGAGACGAACUGACCACGGUCAGGAAGUCAUCGAUGCCACGCUUCCAGGAAAAGCCUCUAAGCUUCAGAUCACAUGCGACCGUACCCCAAACCGUCCUACCGGUCGAAGAUACCAGGUGGCUGCAACUGUUUAUUAAAAACACAGCACUCUGCAAACGCGCAAGCGGACGUAUAGGGUGUGACGCCUGCCCGGUGCCGGAAGGUUAAUUGAUGGGGUUAGCUCACGCGAAGCUCUUGAUCGAAGCCCCGGUAAACGGCGGCCGUAACUAUAACGGUCCUAAGGUAGCGAAAUUCCUUGUCGGGUAAGUUCCGACCUGCACGAAUGGCGUAAUGAUGGCCACGCUG